UUCCUCCCUUCCUCCACCAGGUGGAGUCUUAUCCCUCUGAGCACAUGAAGCCCUAAUAACUACAGGCUGAACAUGUGAAUGUCUGGAUCUUUACCACAACACUCUUAUUGUUCAUUGCACUUUUAUGUCUUCUCAUGCAGAUUUUUCUCUCCCUGCUGGUUUCCCCAACACACAGAGAACACUGAGAACACACAUAUUUUUGACUUCCUGUUGUCGCUCCUCCCGCUGAGGAGCCGAAAGUGAAAGCAAACAUUUGUCCUGUGACUCCGCCAUCAGCGUCUCCGGUGUUGGUCGAGAUUCGUGUUUCCCCGUCAGGUGUCAACAUCAUGUCAACAUCAAUGUUAAUUCCUUACUUUGACUCUAAAUGAGGAAGUGACGGCGGCGCGCAGCAAACAGGGGCCGCACGCCAUUUGUCUUUCCUGCCGCUCCUCUCCCUUCAAAAUCAACAGUUUAAAGGUGUCGGCUCGGCUAUGGAGCCAUUUGGGAGAAGAAUGAAGGGGCUCCCUGCCUCUGAAAGCUCUCUGUCUGGGGAACAUGACAGCCAGACCAAAGCUAAGAGGAUCCAGCAGGAGAGACCAGACUCCCCUGGACCUGGACCUGAGCCCAGCUGUGUGUCCAUGAAGAGUGAUCGGUCUAUGGGAUGUCCUAUUUUCUU
Long non-coding RNA from Myripristis murdjan (pinecone soldierfish), 655 nucleotides. RefSeq lists it as uncharacterized. The record is from RefSeq and is a predicted model, not a curated record. The transcript is spliced from 4 exons. NCBI's taxonomy places the organism in Eukaryota, Metazoa, Chordata, Actinopteri, Holocentriformes, Holocentridae.